This 1203-nucleotide long non-coding RNA is filed under the name Numida meleagris (helmeted guineafowl). Its description in RNAcentral is "lncRNA (ENSNMEG00000007802.1)". The record is from RNAcentral. Lineage: Eukaryota; Metazoa; Chordata; Aves; Galliformes; Numididae.
UGGCUACAUAUCUGUCUGAGGAACAAUAGCUACCUGUAUUCUGCACGGGCUGCUGGGCAGGCACUAGCAAGCAGGAGAAGGUCUGCCUCCGCUAGAGCCUCGCUAGUGGGAAUCCCUACUGACAGCCCUGCUUCGCACUGGGGAGGGGGGAAGCAGAACCUUGUCUGCUCGUUGACAAGGGACAGAGCUUUGAUCGCUCUUCUCCAGCCCUGACUUGGCCCGAGGUUUAGAUCCCCAGUCCCGAAGUCCACGGGCUCUCCUCACUCCUGCACGCACCCACUCGCACACACCCCUUUGCCGACAGAUCCGUGUCACGGCUGUAACUGAGGCACACAGCAAUAAACAUAGCAGAACCAAUCUCCAUGGUGGCAAGAGGGGGCACUGGAGGUGACAACAAUGGAGAAGGAUCUUUCUGCUGACAAGUUUUAGGAUUUGCUGACAGAGCCCCAAAGAUGCCAGAGAUCAUCCUCAUCUCGCCGUGCGCUCUCUCCACAGAUGGCUGGGGCUCAUGGAGCCAUCACUGCCCCUCCAAUGCAGCCUGCACUUCAAGGGGCUUCACUCCAAGUGCCGCAGGCCUCCAGGCUGAGACACAGGUGAAAGCUCCUCGUGCGAAACUUCCACUUGCCUGUGUGGUGAAGCCUGGGGUCGUUGAUUGUUGUGUGAUAGAGAAACUGGAAAAACUUUCAUGCGGAACUGGAGAGGGAUCCUUGAGUGAUGCUUCUUUGGUCAACUAAGUAUGAUAAUUUUGGUCAUAUUGUGCAGGAAUCCUUUGAUAUUUUUCUGCAAACACAGUCUUUGUAAAGUGGAGGGAAAAAAAAACCAAAAUAGAAGGCAGUAAUUUCUGAGAAAUUGAAAUAUUUUUCCUUUUGAGCUUGCUAGGAUUUAUUUAAAAAGAACACACCAUCAUGCAGAAUGAACUUGAACAUCCAGAAGAUUAGAGUAUCCAUGCUGUUCUGGUAGCUUUGAAAACUUUAGUGACAUAUAACACAGCCAUGUAUUCCUUAUCACAAGAAUUUGCAACAUUUGUUUUGGAAUUAGUCUCAAAAAAUGAGUAAUGUUAGGCUUUGUUUUACUGUGACAAAGGUAGUUAGGAGUGUAUGUAAGAAUAAUUUCCAUAAUGAAGCAUUAAAAGACCUUGAUGUUGUACAAUGCAAUUACAUCUGCUGCAAUAAAAUGUAUUAUUUCUCUGUUAUAAUAAAUAUU